RNAcentral lists this ribosomal RNA (443 nucleotides) under uncultured bacterium. Its description in RNAcentral is "partial 16S ribosomal RNA". It matches the Rfam family "Bacterial small subunit ribosomal RNA", at positions 338 to 795 of the family's 1533-position model. The record is from RNAcentral.
CCUACGGGAGGCAGCAGUGGGGAAUAUUGGGCAAUGGAGGCAACUCUGACCCAGCAACGCCGCGUGAAUGAUGAAGGUCUUCGGAUUGUAAAGUUCUGUGAUGGGGGAUGAACACAAUGACGGUACCCCAAUAGCAAGCCACGGCUAACUACGUGCCAGCAGCCGCGGUAAUACGUAGGUGGCAAGCGUUAUCCGGAAUGACUGGGCGUAAAGGGGGCGUAGGUGGUUUAGUAAGUUGGCGGUGUAAUUCCGGGGCUCAACCUCGUCGCUACCGCCAAAACUAUUAGACUAGAGUGCAGGAGAGGUAAGUGGAAUUCCUAGUGUAGCGGUGGAAUGCGUAGAUAUUAGGAGGAACAUCAGGGGCGAAGGCGACUUACUGGACUGUAACUGACACUGAGGCACGAAAGCGUGGGGAGCAAACAGGAUUAGAUACCCCUGUAGUC